Molecule: ribosomal RNA, 497 nt
Filed under: uncultured bacterium
Lineage: Bacteria
Description: partial 16S ribosomal RNA
Rfam family: Bacterial small subunit ribosomal RNA
Source: RNAcentral
GACGAACGCUGGCGGCGUGCCUAAUACAUGCAAGUUGAGCGCUGAAGGUUGGUACUUGUACCAACUGGAUGAGCAGCGAACGGGUGAGUAACGCGUGGGGAAUCUGCCUUUGAGCGGGGGACAACAUUUGGAAACGAAUGCUAAUACCGCAUAAAAACUUUAAACACAAGUUUUAAGUUUGAAAGAUGCAAUUGCAUCACUCAAAGAUGAUCCCGCGUUGUAUUAGCUAGUUGGUGAGGUAAAGGCUCACCAAGGCGAUGAUACAUAGCCGACCUGAGAGGGUGAUCGGCCACAUUGGGACUGAGACACGGCCCAAACUCCUACGGGAGGCAGCAGUAGGGAAUCUUCGGCAAUGGACGAAAGUCUGACCGAGCAACACCGCGUGAGUGAAGAAGGUUUUCGGAUCGUAAAACUCUGUUGGUAGAGAAGAACGUUGGUGAGAGUGGAAAGCUCAUCAAGUGACGGUAACUACCCAGAAAGGGACGGCUAACUACGUG